RNAcentral lists this ribosomal RNA (465 nucleotides) under uncultured bacterium. Its description in RNAcentral is "partial 16S ribosomal RNA". It matches the Rfam family "Bacterial small subunit ribosomal RNA", at positions 331 to 794 of the family's 1533-position model. The record is from RNAcentral.
CCAGACUCCUACGGGAGGCAGCAGUGAGGAAUAUUGGUCAAUGGCCGGAAGGCUGAACCAGCCAAGCCGCGUGAAGGACGAAGGUGCCAAGCAUUGUAAACUUCUUUUGUCAAGGGACAAAAUCAGGCUCGAGAGCCUGACCGAGGGUACUUGAAGAAAAAGCAUCGGCUAACUCCGUGCCAGCAGCCGCGGUAAUACGGAGGAUGCGAGCGUUAUCCGGAUUUAUUGGGUUUAAAGGGUGCGUAGGCGGACUGUUAAGUCAGCGGUAAAAAUUCGGGGCUCAACCCCGUCCGGCCGUUGAAACUGGGGGCCUUGAGUGGGCGAGAAGAAGGCGGAAUGCGUGGUGUAGCGGUGAAAUGCAUAGAUAUCACGCAGAACCCCGAUUGCGAAGGCAGCCUUCCGGCGCCCUACUGACGCUGAGGCACGAAAGUGCGGGGAUCGAACAGGAUUAGAUACCCCUGUAGU